CACGUGGGUAACCUGCCCCGAUCACCGGGACAACUCGAGGAAACUCGGGCUAAUACCGGAUGUGCUCUCCUCACAUCAGUGAGGUGAUGAAAGGUAGCUUCGGCUUCCGGAUUGGGAUGGGCCCGCGGCCCAUUAGCUUGUUGGUGGGGUAACGGCCUACCAAGGCGACGAUGGGUAGCUGGUCUGAGAGGACGAUCAGCCACACUGGGACUGAGACACGGCCCAGACUCCUACGGGAGGCAGCAGUGGGGAAUCUUGCGCAAUGCGCGAAAGCGUGACGCAGCAACGCCGCGUGCGGGA
This 300-nucleotide ribosomal RNA is filed under the name uncultured Solirubrobacterales bacterium. Its description in RNAcentral is "bacterial SSU rRNA". It matches the Rfam family "Bacterial small subunit ribosomal RNA", at positions 114 to 408 of the family's 1533-position model. Lineage: Bacteria; Bacillati; Actinomycetota; Thermoleophilia; Solirubrobacterales. The record is from RNAcentral.